GGGAACGUGCCCUUCGGUUCGGAAUAACUCAGGGAAACUUGAGCUAAUACCGGAUACGCCCUUUUGGGGAAAGGUUUACUGGCCGAAGAACGGCCCGCGGCUUUUUAAUUUGUUGGUGAGGGUACCGGUCACCCAGGGGACCAAUAAUAACUUGUCUGAAAAGAUGAACAACCACCCUGGGACUGAAAAACGGCCCAAAAUCCCACCGGAGGGAGGAAUGGGGAAAAAUGGACAAAGGGGGCAACCCUUAACCCGCCAUGCCCGGGGAGUGAUUAACGCCUUAAGGUUGUAAAGGUUUUUUUUCCCGGACGAUUAUUAAGGUCCCGGAAGAAUAAGCCCCGGCUAACUUCCUGCCAGCCGCCCCGGGAAUACCAAAGGGGCUAGCGUUGGUUGGAAUCACUUGGCGUAAAGGGCGCGUAAGCCGCUUGUUUAAUCCAGGGUGAAAGCCCGUGGCUCAACCACCGAAUGGCCUUCGAUACUGGUUGGCUUGGAACCGGAAAAAGAAGGGGGAACUGCCAGGGUAAAGGUGAAAUUCGUAAAUAUUCGCAAGAACACCCGUGGCGAAAGCCGCCUUCUGGGCCGGUUCUUACGCUUAAGCGGAAAGCAUGGGGAGCAAACAAGAUUAAAUACCCUGGUUGUCCCCGCUGUAAACGAUUAAUGCUAGCCCUUGGGGUGCCUGCACCUCCCUGGCGCCCCUUACGCAUUAAACAUUCCGCCUGGGGAGUACGGGCGCAGAUUAAACUCCCAGAAUUGACGGGGCCCGCACAAGCAGUGGAGCAUGUGAGUUUAAUU
RNAcentral lists this ribosomal RNA (792 nucleotides) under Methylobacterium sp. Its description in RNAcentral is "bacterial SSU rRNA". It matches the Rfam family "Bacterial small subunit ribosomal RNA", at positions 120 to 951 of the family's 1533-position model. The record is from RNAcentral. Lineage: Bacteria; Pseudomonadati; Pseudomonadota; Alphaproteobacteria; Hyphomicrobiales; Methylobacteriaceae.